CCAUUACUCACUCCAUAAUUUUUUUUUUUUUUUUUGUGAGAGAUAGAUAGCACGCUACCCACUUUAUUUAUUUUAUUUAGAACUAAACUUAGCUGAAAAUAUGAAUCAACUAAGAUUCGAACUUGGGUCUCUGGUACCAACCACCAAGCCCUUGGCCACUUGCUCUAGAAACGAUGAGAGGUCAUUUGAGUGUCUAUAAAUAUGUAAUAAUUUUAUAAUAAAACAAGUCAAGUUAAGUUGAGUAGAGUUUCUACUUUUAUUUGAGAAGAAUGAUUUUUUCUUACUCUUAUCUCUUAUCUCUUAAGUGGAUUUUCUGUGAAAGAAGAAUGUUGUUCAACUAUUGCAUUGGUAGAUUCCAUAUACUGGUGAAUAUGCUGGAGUUCGAUGUGAUGGAUUCUACGGUGAGUCGAGUGUUUAUUGAGUUGUGCUUGUUCUAU
Molecule: long non-coding RNA, 437 nt
Filed under: Ananas comosus (pineapple)
Lineage: Eukaryota; Viridiplantae; Streptophyta; Magnoliopsida; Poales; Bromeliaceae
Description: long non-coding RNA (ACOM_LNC037690)
Source: RNAcentral